RNAcentral lists this transfer RNA (77 nucleotides) under Photobacterium damselae subsp. damselae. Its description in RNAcentral is "tRNA-Met". It matches the Rfam family "tRNA". Rfam says of the family: Transfer RNA (tRNA) molecules are approximately 80 nucleotides in length. Their secondary structure includes four short double-helical elements and three loops (D, anti-codon, and T loops). Lineage: Bacteria; Pseudomonadati; Pseudomonadota; Gammaproteobacteria; Vibrionales; Vibrionaceae. The record is from RNAcentral.
CGCGGGGCGGAGCAGCUUGGUAGCUCGUCGGGCUCAUAACCCGAAGGUCGUUGGUUCAAAUCCGGCCCCCGCAACCA